This 466-nucleotide ribosomal RNA is filed under the name uncultured bacterium. RNAcentral's name for it is "partial 16S ribosomal RNA". It matches the Rfam family "Bacterial small subunit ribosomal RNA", at positions 28 to 506 of the family's 1533-position model. The record is from RNAcentral.
GACGAACGCUGGCGGCGUGCUUAACACAUGCAAGUCGAACGGAAAGGCCCUGCUUUUGUGGGGUGCUCGAGUGGCGAACGGGUGAGUAACACGUGAGUAACCUGCCUUGACUUUGGGAUAACUUCAGGAAACUGGGGCUAAUACCGGAUAGGAGCUCCUGCUGCAUGGUGGGGGUUGGAAAGUUUCGGCGGUUGGGGAUGGACUCGCGGCUUAUCAGCUUGUUGGUGGGGUAGUGGCUUACCAAGGCUUUGACGGGUAGCCGGCCUGAGAGGGUGACCGGCCACAUUGGGACUGAGAUACGGCCCAGACUCCUACGGGAGGCAGCAGUGGGGAAUAUUGCACAAUGGGCGGAAGCCUGAUGCAGCAACGCCGCGUGCGGGAUGACGGCCUUCGGGUUGUAAACCGCUUUCGCCUGUGACGAAGCGUGAGUGACGGUAAUGGGGAAAGAAGCACCGGCGAACUACGU